Molecule: unclassified non-coding RNA, 1518 nt
Organism: Vigna unguiculata (cowpea)
Lineage: Eukaryota; Viridiplantae; Streptophyta; Magnoliopsida; Fabales; Fabaceae
Source: RefSeq, a predicted model, not a curated record
UCGCAUCAUAAUUGGGUCAUACUGUAACCAUGAGCCCAAGAAAGCUGUGGAUCGCGAAAUCACAUUCCCAACAUAGAAGGAGAAGAAGAAGCUGAGAAGGGAAAAGUAGCAAAGCAGAGAUUUUGAUAAUAAGGGGAAAAGCUGAAACUAAAUCGUAACAGAGAAGAAGAAAGAUGGUUAGGGUGGCAUCGUACUUCGCGAUGACGUUGGGUGCUUUCGUGUUCUGGCAAUCCAUGGACAAAGUCCAUGUCUGGAUCGCUCUCCAUCAGGACGAAAAGCAAGAGAGGUUGGAGAAGGAAGCGGAGAUCAGAAGGGUUAGAGAAGAAUUAUUGCAGCAGCAGGCCAAUCAGAAGGAUCCUUAUUAUUGAAUUCGAAUAUGUUGUAAUUUUGCUGCCUUUUGCUUUGCAAUUUCCUUCCCAUGCUCUGUCUAGUGCUCAAAUAAAAUAUGGUACUCCCGAGCAUUUCAAAUUUAAUUGCAUGGAUUUCUAAUGUGUUUCUUUACACACGCAUUUGUCUCAUAAAAUGCUACGCGUGUUAGUAAUUGUUGGAACACUUACUCAGGUUAUGAACCAAAUUUUUAAGCAUUUCCAUGGAUUUUUUAGGUCAUACUUGAACCUUUAUUCUUAUUUACAAGUAUGAGUUUGGAAAUCAACCAAGUAUUGGAUCAUAUUAUUAACGGACUGAAAUAGAAGUCUGUAAACUCUCUAGUUUGUCCAUCUUACUCUGGUGCAUAAAUCAUUUGAUGCUGCUGCUGCUUCUCCUAUAUUGUGAAUGUGUUCUUACUUGUUUAGCGAUUCCCUUGUUCUCUGUGUUUUGCUCUGAUAUUCAGAUAUAAUUGGAUAGACUGUUCUGCUUAAAAAUAAGUUGUAGAGUAGAAACUUAGUAUCAAACCAUUUCCUGCAGCGUUUCUUUUAACCUACUUCUCAUACUUUUCGCCUACAGAAUUUUGGGGUUAAAUCGAGCGAUAGAGGAAUUAUGAAGUGGCAAUACUAACUGAAAUAAGCAAGUGCCAAAAAUGCUGUACAAGCUUAACUCUUCCCAAGGUCUUGACAGUAUUGCAAUUAGGCAAGUACUUGGUCUAGAAGUAGAAGAACUUCUUGUUGGUUUUUGCUGUCUAGAGGAAUAUUGUAAACAGAACAGUGUGGUGCCACCAUUGUGCUGUUACAGCUGCAUUCACUAAAGUUUACAUCUAGCAUCGUGUGCAUAGAUAGUCAUUGAUUGAGGUUGACUGCACUGCUGUACGAAAAUGUGGCAAAAUCAUUUCCAGGGUUCCUUUUAUGAUUUCACACUCUCUUUUUCAGAACCCUUAAUUUUGACAAAACCCAGUUGCUCAUGUUCAUUAAUCUUUGGCCCUUGUGUUUUCUUUCACUCUUCAAGUCAGCCACUCGCUUUUUGGCCCAAGUAUGCACUUGGGUUUGCGUUGUCCUCUCCGUUCUUGCCUGCCUCUGCUUACACAUUGCUGGCUGUUAUUUCGAUUCUAUGCCCUUUCCGGAGAACCUUGUGGGUUAACUGCCCCAG